AAGAUUUUAGCUUAAUAAAAGUAUCUGGUUUGCAUCCAGGAGAUGUAGGGUAAUAUCCUGCAAGUCUUA
RNAcentral lists this transfer RNA (69 nucleotides) under Oreolalax multipunctatus (dotted lazy toad). RNAcentral's name for it is "tRNA-Ala". It matches the Rfam family "tRNA". From Rfam's summary of the family: Transfer RNA (tRNA) molecules are approximately 80 nucleotides in length. Their secondary structure includes four short double-helical elements and three loops (D, anti-codon, and T loops). Lineage: Eukaryota; Metazoa; Chordata; Amphibia; Anura; Megophryidae. The record is from RNAcentral.